RNAcentral lists this ribosomal RNA (115 nucleotides) under Octodon degus (degu). The record is from RNAcentral. Lineage: Eukaryota; Metazoa; Chordata; Mammalia; Rodentia; Octodontidae.
AUGGCUAUACCACCCUGAAUACCACGAUCUUGUCUGAUCUCAGAGGCUAAGCAGGGUCAGGUCUGAAUAGUGCUCAGAUGGGAUCCCGCCUGGGAAUAUAUGUCUGUGUUUCAUU